This is an unclassified non-coding RNA of Bradysia coprophila, 1182 nucleotides long. The record is from RefSeq and is a predicted model, not a curated record. NCBI's taxonomy places the organism in Eukaryota, Metazoa, Arthropoda, Insecta, Diptera, Sciaridae.
GGAAAAUAGCUGCAAGUUUAAUGGAUUUGAUGUGAAAAGUACUGUGUAACAAGCUAAUAAGUGUAUAAGUGCUGUGACAACAUGCGAUAAUUAUCCAAAAUUCAAGUCUCAUUCACACACUUUCAAUAUUUCUUACAAGAAGCCGGCAAAAUCCAAAUGGGAUUCGUGAAGGCGAUUUUAUCCAAUCCUCACAUUUUGUUUGGAGUAGCUAACAGAUUAGUCAAGCCAGUUAGACUGCCAAUCAGCAGAUUCUAUUCAACGGUACCAGCAGGAUGACAUCGAUCAAAAGAAAGUAAGAAAACUGGCGAAAAAACUAGCUGUUGCUGCUUCUGAGCCACGCUUCUAUCAAGCUCGUUCUAGCAAAUGGACUGAGCUAAAGAAAAGAUACGAUCAAGAGGUGGCAUCCAAAGAACAAGAAGUUAUUCACGUAACACUGCUUGAUGGUAAGGUCGUCGAAGGAUUUAGCUGGGAUCUGACACCAUUGCAAAUAGCCCAGGACAUUAGCCACGCACUGGUACAAGACGUGUACAUUGCUAAAAUAAACGAUCAACUGUGGGAUUUUGAGCGACCAUUGGAGGCUGACUGUAAAAUUCAAUUAUUGAAAUAUGAUUCUCAAGAUGCUAAAACCGCAUUCUGGACGACAGCUGCAUUUACUUUAGCCGAAGCAUUGGAAAGAUUAUAUUGUACAGAUGAUGGUGGUGUGGUGUGUAGUAUCGGUUCCACGCAAAGUGGUUUCUAUGCAGACAUUCAUUUGACAGCGAAAACGAUCAACAGAAAAGACAUCGGUGCUAUUGAUGAGCAAAUCGCUAAAAUACUACAAAACCACAGCAAAGUCGAACGCAUUGAGACUACGAAAAGUGAUGCAAAUGAAUUGUUUGCCUAUAAUCCGUUCAAAUUGAAAGUGAUCAGCGAACGUGUGUGUGAUAGACUACCUAUAUACCGAUGUGGCUGUUUCAUUGAAAUCGUCGAUACUCCACUUCUUCGUAAGAAUAAAAAUGUGAACACCAUCAAGAUACUAAAGAUGGAGUCGGUACUUUGCAAUGGCCAGCCCAUACAACGCGUUCAUGGUGUAGCUUUUCCAUCGCACAAAGAAUUGAAGGAUUACCUUAAGCAGAAUAAAUUGACGUAGGAUCUGUUAUGAAAUGUGAAUAAACCGCUUCGUUUGGCCAAUGCAUAUUACAA